UUUCAUAAUAUUUAUAAAAUACAAAUUCAAUUUUCAAGAUACAAUUUAAUUACCUUUUACAUUUGAUAUAAAUGUCUCUCUCUCUUCCUUUAUGCAACUCACAUGGGGUUAUUUGGUAGUUCCACACAUAGUGAGGUUAUAUGGUGUAGAAAAGUGCUUAAAUGGUGACCCCACUUGUUGCUUUGCUUCUCUAGUUAUCCCAAUAAUACAAACAGCUCCAUGAUUAGUAGUAUUUCCUGAUGAACACAACUUCAAAUGUACGAUCAGGAGCUUGCAAUUGAUUGAUUGUCCUCGAAGUUGGGCACACAAUCACACAUGGGUUUUGUUCAUCAUGCAAUGCUAUUUUACAUUAUUUCCCACCACCAACUCAUGAGCCAGGGUAAAAGGAUAAGCACAAUUUUUCUGCUCAGUUUUUGGUCUUCCUCUUUGCAUAUUCAAUACAUAUAUUCUGGUGUUAAUCAACUUAUACACGUGCUUCACUUCAUAUUAGGAUCCAAUCCGAAUAGCUAGUUUUGUAUGUUAUGGUUUGAAGUUGUGGGACUCUCAUCUCAUGGAUCAGAUACCAUAAGUUCAUACAAGUAGGAUUAAAAGAAGAUUUGAAAAUAGCAUUAAUGUAAAAUAAGCAUGAAAUACAAUAAUCUUACUAUAGUUUAAAUGUGGAAAAUUAAUUUUAUUAUCUGUUAAUUUAAUUUUGAGAAGUACCUGUAUUACGGUUGGUAUUACGAUCGAUAUUACGGUAGUAAAUGAGAUUUUGAAACAUAGGAAUAAACACAUCUUUAAAAAUAAAGUAAUUGAUCAUUCUAAAAA
Molecule: long non-coding RNA, 807 nt
Filed under: Phaseolus vulgaris (common bean)
Lineage: Eukaryota; Viridiplantae; Streptophyta; Magnoliopsida; Fabales; Fabaceae
Description: long non-coding RNA (PVUL_LNC002859)
Source: RNAcentral